CUUAAGUAUAUUUUAAAACCAAAUACUGUUAGACAUUUACUCAAGUAGUAUUUUACUGGGUGAAUUUCACUUACUAUUUUCUAUUAAGGUAUCUUUACUUUUACUCAAGUAUGACAAUUGGGUACUUUUCCACCGCUGGUUGUUGAUCCAUCCUCAGUUUUCUCUUAUCACAGCUGUACCUGUUUUAAAGUCACCAUUACCCUUAUGGUCAAAUCCCUGAGCGGUUUCCUUCCUCUCCGGCAACUGAGUUAGGAAAGACGCCUGUAUCUUUGUAGUGACUGGAUGUUGUGUCAGGGCUCCCAAGUGGCACAGCAGUCUAGCCGGGGUAGGCCGUCAUUGUAAAUAACAAUUUGUUCUUAACUGACUUGCCUAGUUUAAAUAAAGGUUAAAUAAAAAAGUAUUGUUACACAAUCCAAAGUGUAAUUAAUAUCUUCACCGUGUUCAAAGGGAUAUUCAAUGUCUGCUUUUACAUUUUGUACCAUCUACCAAUAGGUGCCCUUCUUUGCGAGGCAUUGGAAAACCUUCCUGGUGUUUUGUGGUUAAAUCUGUGUUUGAAAUUCACUGCUCGACUGAGGGACCUUACAGAUAAUUGUGUGUGUGUGGGGAACAGAGAUGAGGUAGUCAUUAAAAAAUCAUGUUAAACACUAUUAUUGCACACAGAGUGAGUCUAUGCAACUUAUUAUGUGACUUGUUAAGCACAUUUGUAAUCCUGAACUUAUUUAGGCUUGCCAUAACAAAGGUGUUUGUGUACUUAUUGACUCAAGACAUUUCAGCUUUUCAUUUUUUAAAUUAAUUUGUAAGCAUUUUCCAAAAAACAUAAUUCAACGUUGACAUUGUGGGGUAUUGUGUGUAGGCCAGUGACCCCAAAAAAAUCUAAAUUCAAUAAAUUACAAAUUUGGGAUGUAACACAACAAAAUAUAGGUAGCUAGCUAGCUAUCUUUUGAUCUAGCGAGCCAGGCUAGCUAGCUAGAUACCUCAUUUGAACGUUUUACAAAUUUGGGAUGUAACACAACAAAAUAUAGGUAGCUAGCUAGCUAUCUUUUGAUCUAGCGAGCCAGGCUAGCUAAUGUCUAUACCUCAUUUGAACGUAGUUAGGUCGUAGCUCAUACAAGUUUAUUGUGUAUUAUCUAGAUACUGCUGGUUAUGGAACGUUAUCAUUUGAUAAUGCUAGCAAGGCAGGCUGGCUACAGGCUAGCUAACGUUCGUUAACUAGCUAGCUAAUGUUAGCCUACAAGUCGUAUUUGCAAGUUAUUUUGUAGCUCAUACAGGUGUAUUCCGUUUUGUUUAGGGCAAAACUUAAUAAUGGAUGUAGCUAACUCAUGUCUGAGUCUGACUAAUACAGUGAACUAUUGGUGCUUUCAAGGGAGGGGAAAAAACUAGGUCAAAUCAUGACUUUAGUGAUCUUCAGAUCGGAAAGUCAGAGCACUAGAAAAAUGCCUGAGUUUGCAACUUGGAAUUUCGAGUUGGAAUAGCGUUCAAAAUUACAUUUCCCAAUCAGAGCUCAUUUUUGUCCACACACCCACUAAUGAAUUUCUGGCUACACCACUGAGGUUAUAGGCAUAAGGUUAACUGUGUGGUUAAGGUUAGGUUUAAAAUCACAUUUAAGAAGAGCAAUUGUAGAAAUAGGCGGCCUAUAUGACUUUGUGGCUGUAACUAGUGACGACCUAGAAUUAUCUUGACCGAGUUACUGCCCUGAUGACACAGACGGCUUCAUCAACAACGACCCUACCAGUCAACACCACCUCGUAAGAUGACGAAGUACAUUGCCUGCUGCAGUUGUUCGAGAGAGGUCCAGUUUCAUGCAACAUAGAAAAGACCAGCAAGGGGACCCUCAGAAACACACAGACAUGCCCUUCCUGUGAGCAUUCCUAUAAAUGGAACAGUGUCGACACUUGAAUCAGUAUCUUUGAGGGGCCAGGAGCUCAUCUACGCUGCCAUGCCCAUCAAUGGGGCGCUGGCAAAGAACUUACCUCCAGCCUCACUUCUUGCCUGCUUACUAAUGGUCAUCAAUGGAGAGAUGCAUCUAUUGACCCAGCACUAGGAGACUUGCAAGAUGAUGUGAUGAAGUCCAGACUGACAUACGGGCUUCAUACUGAUGUCUCUAAAUGGAGAGAGACCUGACACAGCAUGAACAUUUUACUAGACAAAUUUUACUAGUUGUCUUUUUUUAUUAUUGAAUUGUAUCAGUCAAUAUGGGGAGGGAGAAACCCAGUGUAUUCUGCACCAGGAUCAGGUAACUCCUGGUGUAUACAGGACACCAUAUAGGAAGGUAUGACCACUCUGACAUGUUUACCAAGGUAGCCCAAUUAUCACCAGACAAAAUGUUGAUAGGCACAGUAUCUGUAUCGGCAGGGAAUGACAAUGAAUGAUGAAAGGUGCACCUUGUUAUAUUAGCAGGACACUGAUUCUAUGGUUUUAUGUAAAUGGUUGUUUAUUCUACAUGGACCUGUUACUACAUUUGAAUGUUAUCAAAACACUUAGUUUAGAAUAUCUACAUACAUUAUUUUUAUUUACCUUUAUUUAACUUGGCAUUCUUAUUUACAAUGACGGCCUACCAAAAUGCCUCCUGCGGGGAAGGAGGCUGCAAUUAUUAUUAUUAAAAGAAUAAUUAAACACGCAUCAUGACGAGAGACAACACAACACUACAUAAAGCGAGACCUAAGACAACAACAUAGCAUGGCAGCAACACAUGAAAACAAAGCAUGGUAGCAACACAACAUGACAACAACAUGGUAUCAACACAGCAUGGCAGCAGCACAACAUGGUAGCAGCACAAAACAAGGUACAAACAUUAUUGGGCACAGACAACAGCACAAAGGGCAAGAAGGUAGAGACAACAAUACAUCAUGCAAAGCAGCCACAACUGCCAGUAAGAGUGUCCGUCUUUG
Oncorhynchus tshawytscha (Chinook salmon) is the source of this 2888-nucleotide long non-coding RNA. The record is from Ensembl. Lineage: Eukaryota; Metazoa; Chordata; Actinopteri; Salmoniformes; Salmonidae.